Molecule: long non-coding RNA, 1033 nt
Filed under: Anser brachyrhynchus (Pink-footed goose)
Lineage: Eukaryota; Metazoa; Chordata; Aves; Anseriformes; Anatidae
Description: lncRNA (ENSABRG00000010825.1)
Source: RNAcentral
UCACACACCCCUUUGUAGCAUUACAUCUGAAAAAAUAAAUCCUAGAAACACAAGUAUGUUAAGAUAAACUCACCCCUUAGCUCCAGUAACUCUAUUCUUCCACUGCAGUGCAGCACCGUAAAGCCAGGAUGUAUUCCUUAUCCUCACAGCAAUGCUCUGCUGUGCUGAAGUACUUUCCACUUCCCAGCACUCUCUCUUCUUCCUUUGCUUUUUUUUCUAAUUGAUCGUCUUUUGAAAGUCAAAAACAAAUUGAUGCCAUUUAAGUAAAAAUAAAUAAAUAAACAACCCCCCCCACACACACAGAUCUGUAGCUGGUUCAGGUGAGAUGCUUUCCACCUACAAAGAGUGCUUUCUAUUUUUCCUGACUUUGUGAUAAAACACUCUCUGAAGUUAAGCUCUAGAUUUUAUUUUAUUUAUUUAUAUAUUUUUUUUUUGUACCUUAACAUGCCUUGAGGAGAUAAAACAGGAGAGUAUCUGAAAGUGAAAAAUCCAACGUCAGUCACAGAUAGAAGAACAUGAUUUCUCUCCAGUUAAUCCCCUUAAUCCUUGACAGGUUUAUUCCUGCAGGUACAUCUUUCUCAUUUCCAUUUCGGUGCUGAAACAGAAGUUGAUAUUAUCUGAGCAGGUGAGGCUUCAGGCCAGUAUCUUUUAUCUUCUCAGCCGGCUGUGCUGCAGAGGCUGGGCACUGUGACCCUGCCUGGAGGGCACACCAGGAGCUGUGGCCACCGCUGCUUCCCCCAGGGGGAAGGUUUGGAGAGGAGUUUUUCUUCACUUCUUUCCACAGCUAUUUUGGUCUGUGCCUCCUUACCAAGGGCUGCCAACAGUGCUCCUUGCAUGUGUGAUCACUAUGAUGGUUCUGUGCAGUCUCAGCCUCCACAGGCUCCCUUUGCUGUUUUCCCAGUUGUUCCAGCUAAAGGCAGGUCAAACAGGUGCUUAUAGAUCUACACACAGGAAUGCUUCCUCUUUCAUGCUCUACUCCUUCCCUGUGAGUGCCAGCAAUAUGAAUGCAAACAAUCGUUUUCAUGGACACUGA